CCAGUGGAGCGGCUGUUAUAG
RNAcentral lists this microRNA (21 nucleotides) under Anolis carolinensis (green anole). RNAcentral's name for it is "aca-miR-194-2-3p". Its record names the gene aca-miR-194-2-3p. Lineage: Eukaryota; Metazoa; Chordata; Lepidosauria; Squamata; Anolidae. The record is from miRBase by way of RNAcentral.